CAGGAUGAACGCUAGCUACAGGCUAACACAUGCAAGUCGAGGGGCAGCAUAUCGAAAGCUUGCUUUGAUGAUGGCGACCGGCGCACGGGUGAGUAACGCGUAUCCAACCUUCCCUAUACUAGAGGAUAGCCCGGCGAAAGUCGGAUUAAUACUCUAUGUUCUUCGUAGAAGACAUCUGAAAUGAAGCAAAGGUUUACCGGUGUAGGAUGGGGGAUGCGUCUGAUUAGGUUGUUGGCGGGGUAACGGCCCACCAAGCCCACGAUCAGUAGGGUUCUGAGAGGAAGGUCCCCCACAUUGGAACUGAGACACGGUCCAAACUCCUACGGGAGGCAGCAGUGAGGAAUAUUGGUCAAUGGACGAGAGUCUGAACCAGCCAAGUAGCGUGCAGGAUGACGGCCCUAUGGGUUGUAAACUGCUUUUAUACAGGGAUAAAGUGACGUACGUGUACGUUUUUGUAGGUACUGUAUGAAUAAGGACCGGCUAAUUCCGUGCCAGCAGCUGC
RNAcentral lists this ribosomal RNA (502 nucleotides) under uncultured bacterium. RNAcentral's name for it is "bacterial SSU rRNA". It matches the Rfam family "Bacterial small subunit ribosomal RNA", at positions 25 to 518 of the family's 1533-position model. The record is from RNAcentral.